CGACACGACCGUACCGCAAACCGACACUGGUGCGCGAGAUGAGUAUUCUAAGGCGCUUGAGAGAACUCAGGAGAAGGAACUCGGCAAAUUGACACCGUAACUUCGGAAGAAGGUGUGCCUUUAGUAGGUGAACCUGUACAAGGGGAGCCCAAUGAGGUUGCAAAAAAUCGGUGGCUGCGACUGUUUAAUAAAAACACAGCACUCUGCAAACACGAAAGUGGACGUAUAGGGUGUGACGCCUGCCCGGUGCUGGAAGAUUAAAUGAUGGGGUGCAAGCUCUUGAUUGAAGUCCCAGUAAACGGCGGCCGUAACUAUAACGGUCCUAAGGUAGCGAAAUUCCUUGUCGGGUAAGUUCCGACCUGCACGAAUGGCGUAACGAUGGCCACACUGUCUCCUCCUGAGACUCAGCGAAGUUGAAAUGUUUGUGAUGAUGCAAUCUCCCCGCGGAAAGACGGAAAGACCCCAUGAACCUUUACUGUAGCUUUGUACUGGACUUUGAACAGAUCUGUGUAGGAUAGGUGGGAGGCUUUGAAGUGUGGUGCUAGAUCGCAUGGAGCCAACGUUGAAAUACCACCCUGGUGUGUUUGAGGUUCUAACCUAGGCCCGUAAUCCGGGUCGGGGACAGUGCAUGGUAGGCAGUUUGACUGGGGCGGUCUCCUCCCAAAGCGUAACGGAGGAGUUCGAAGGUACGCUAGGUACGGUCGGACAUCGUGCUAAUAGUGCAAUGGCAUAAGCGUGCUUAACUGCGAGACUGACAAGUCGAGCAGAUGCGAAAGCAGGACAUAGUGAUCCGGUGGUUCUGUAUGGAAGGGCCAUCGCUCAACGGAUAAAAGGUACUCUGGGGAUAACAGGCUGAUACCGCCCAAGAGUUCAUAUCGACGGCGGUGUUUGGCACCUCGAUGUCGGCUCAUCUCAUCCUGGGGCUGUAGCCGGUCCCAAGGGUAUGGCUGUUCGCCAUUUAAAGAGGUACGUGAGCUGGGUUUAAAACGUCGUGAGACAGUUUGGUCCCUAUCUUCCGUGGGCGCUGCAGAUUUGAGGAAGCCUGCUCCUAGUACGAGAGGACCGGAGUGGACACACCUCUGGUGUAUCGGUUGUCACGCCAGUGGCAUUGCCGAGUAGCUAUGUGUGGAAGAGAUAACCGCUGAAAGCAUCUAAGCGGGAAACUCGUUUCAAGAUGAGAUCUGCCGGGGCCUUGAGCCCCCUAAAGAGUCGUUCAAGACCAGGACGUUGAUAGGUCGGGUGUGGAAGCGCAGUAAUGCGUUAAGCUAACCGAUACUAAUUGCUCGUGCGGCUUGACCAA
RNAcentral lists this ribosomal RNA (1300 nucleotides) under metagenome. Its description in RNAcentral is "bacterial LSU rRNA". It matches the Rfam family "Bacterial large subunit ribosomal RNA", at positions 1634 to 2925 of the family's 2925-position model. The record is from RNAcentral.